RNAcentral lists this ribosomal RNA (525 nucleotides) under uncultured delta proteobacterium. Its description in RNAcentral is "bacterial SSU rRNA". It matches the Rfam family "Bacterial small subunit ribosomal RNA", at positions 8 to 524 of the family's 1533-position model. Lineage: Bacteria; Deltaproteobacteria. The record is from RNAcentral.
AGAGUUUGAUCCUGGCUCAGGACUAACGCUGGCGGCGUGCUUAACACAUGCAAGUCUAACGAGAAAAUGGUAGCAAUAUCAUGAGUAAAGUGGCGAACGGGUGAGUAACACGUAACCAAUCUGCCCUGAAGCGGAGGAAAACUGAGGGAAACCUUAGCUAAUCCCCCAUAAUGUGGUGCCUAUCGCAUGAGAACACCAUUAAAGAUUUAUCACUUCGGGAAGAGGUUGCGUCUGAUUAGCUAGUUGGCGGGGUAAAAGCCCACCAAGGCAACGAUCAGUAGCUGGUCUGAGAGGAUGAUCAGCCACACUGGAACUGAGACACGGUCCAGACUCCUACGGGAGGCAGCAGUGGGGAAUCUUGCGCAAUGGGCGAAAGCCUGACGCAGCGACGCCGCGUGAGUGAUGAAGGCCUUCGGGUUGUAAAGCUCUGUGGGGAGAGACGAAUAAGUGCAGGCUAAUACCCUGCAUGAUGACGGUAUCUCCUUAGCAAGCACCGGCUAACUCUGUGCCAGCAGCCGCGGUAAU